This 239-nucleotide unclassified non-coding RNA is filed under the name Hevea brasiliensis (rubber tree). The record is from RNAcentral. Lineage: Eukaryota; Viridiplantae; Streptophyta; Magnoliopsida; Malpighiales; Euphorbiaceae.
GGGACAUUGUUCAUAUGCAUGUGGCUGAGAAGGGUCUUCUUCAUGAGAUGGUAAAAAUGGUGAAAAAGAAGCCUGAUUUUCGCGUCAAAGAGAAGAUAUUGAUUCUGAUAGAUACUUGGCAAGAAGCUUUUGGAGGCCCUAGGGCAAGAUAUCCACAGUAUUAUGCCGCAUACCAGGAAUUGUUGCGUGCUGGGGCAGUUUUCCCCCAGAGAUCUGAGAGCUCUGCACCUGUAUUCACC